Molecule: ribosomal RNA, 491 nt
Filed under: uncultured bacterium
Lineage: Bacteria
Description: partial 16S ribosomal RNA
Rfam family: Bacterial small subunit ribosomal RNA
Source: RNAcentral
AGUGAACGCUGGCGGUAGGCCUAACACAUGCAAGUCGAACGGCAGCACAGUAAGAGCUUGCUCUUACGGGUGGCGAGUGGCGGACGGGUGAGGAAUACAUCGGAAUCUACUUUUUCGUGGGGGAUAACGUAGGGAAACUUACGCUAAUACCGCAUACGACCUACGGGUGAAAGCAGGGGAUCUUCGGACCUUGCGCGAUUGAAUGAGCCGAUGUCGGAUUAGCUAGUUGGCGGGGUAAAGGCCCACCAAGGCGACGAUCCGUAGCUGGUCUGAGAGGAUGAUCGGCCACCCUGGACCUGAGACCCGGUCCAGACUCCUACGGGAGGCAGCAGUGGGGAAUAUUGGACAAUGGGCGCAAGCCUGAUCCGGCCAUACCGCGUGGGUGAAGAAGGCCUUCGGGUUGUAAAGCCCUUUUGUUGGGAAGAAAAGCAGCAGGUUAAUACCCCGCUGUUCUGACGGUACCCAAAGAAUAAGCACCGGCUAACUUCGUG